UGGACAUGAUGUGAAUCUCUAGCCUGACCUACUGGUGGAGGCAAAAACUGAUUUAAUGAGGCUGAUCC
This 68-nucleotide small nucleolar RNA is filed under the name Sphenodon punctatus (tuatara). The record is from RNAcentral. Lineage: Eukaryota; Metazoa; Chordata; Lepidosauria; Sphenodontia; Sphenodontidae.